GGAAGUAAAAGUCGUAUCAAGGGCCUCCGUAGGUGAACCUGCGGAGGGAUCAUUACAGAGUUCGUGCCCUCGCGGGUAGAUCUCCCACCCUGUGUUAUUGCUACCUUUGUUGCUUUGGCGGGCCGCCCUCGGCUACCGGCCCCGGCUGGUACGCGCCCGCCAGAGGACCCCAAACCCUGAACGUCAGUGUCGUCUGAGUACUAUACAAUAGUUAAAACUUUCAACAACGGAUCUCUUGGUUCUG
RNAcentral lists this unclassified non-coding RNA (244 nucleotides) under plant metagenome. RNAcentral describes it as "partial contains small subunit ribosomal RNA, internal transcribed spacer 1, and 5.8S ribosomal RNA". The stretch from base 1 to 55 matches the Rfam family "Eukaryotic small subunit ribosomal RNA", at positions 1778 to 1831 of the family's 1831-position model. The record is from RNAcentral.